RNAcentral lists this long non-coding RNA (211 nucleotides) under Gallus gallus (chicken). Lineage: Eukaryota; Metazoa; Chordata; Aves; Galliformes; Phasianidae. The record is from RNAcentral.
GGAGAAGGGAGCAGAGCAGUGAGCACUGCAGGAUGAGAGCACUGCCUUACCUGCAGGUGGACCAGCAGAUGGAAGUCCUUCUCAGUGCAUUUAAAGCAGCCACUGGGAGCCAACCUUCCACCCCCGUGUGCCCACACGGAAGAAGAUAGGAGGAUUUGACGUCUAUUGAUGGAUGUGACUCCUGGAAGGCGUCUCUUAGCCGAAGGACCCG